This 253-nucleotide ribosomal RNA is filed under the name uncultured bacterium. RNAcentral describes it as "partial 16S ribosomal RNA". It matches the Rfam family "Bacterial small subunit ribosomal RNA", at positions 524 to 776 of the family's 1533-position model. The record is from RNAcentral.
UACGAAGGGUGCAAACGUUGCUCGGAAUCAUUGGGCGUAAAGCGCACGUAGGCGGCCCGAUAAGUCGGAUGUGAAAUCCCUCGGCUCAACCGAGGACGUGCAUUCGAAACUGUCGGGCUCGAGUAUGGAAGAGGGUCGCGGAAUUCCCGGUGUAGAGGUGAAAUUCGUAGAGAUCGGGAAGAACACCCGUGGCGAAGGCGGCCGGCUGGGCCGGAUCCGACGCUGAGGCGCGAAAGCGUGGGGAGCAAACAGG